CUACCAUGAUUGUGAGGCCUCCCCAGUUAUGUGGAACUCAAAGCUAGAGGAAACCAAAGUCAUAGAACAUCUGAACUCUGUCCAAACAUCGGUCGUAUUUCAAAAUUUCAGUAGCCACCAUCCCGCAGCCAACGAUAAUAUCUGACACUUCCUGACAUCAUGAAAGCCACCAUCUGUCUAUCACCAAAACCCUGUACUUUUUAAAGACUACUUGGCUUGAUCCUUAAUGAAGCUUCAAGUUGAAUGCACAGA
This 252-nucleotide long non-coding RNA is filed under the name Homo sapiens (human). RNAcentral describes it as "HSALNT0339297". Lineage: Eukaryota; Metazoa; Chordata; Mammalia; Primates; Hominidae. The record is from RNAcentral.